GGUGGGCGCGCCUGGCGCGGUCGCCGUUCGGACUUCUCCUCCCUCCCAUCAGAGCCCCAGUUAGUCCGCGUCCUGGGGCCGCCCAGCCCCGCCCACGCUCCGGCUUACCUGCACGGCUGAGCGGGAGAGGAACAAGCUCUGCUCCACGGGACGGCAAAAGGCAUGUGACCCUGCAGCAGGGGCUCGCGUUAAGUUUUGCAAAUUUGGAAAUGAAGCACGUGGAGCCUCUCUAUUGGAGACAAGGGGGCGCGGACAGCAGCCGGUGAAGUCGGAGGUGCGGCCCCAGGAGCCAAGUGGGAGCAUCCCUUUGGCCCCCUAAGCCCCAUCCAGCAACGACUUGGCUCAUUCAGCAUUUAUUGGGCUCCAGGGGCUGGGAUCAGAGACGAUCGAGACGCUGUCCCUGCUGGCUGUCAUCCAUUCAACUAGCCCGGACGCCGCGCGGAGAGCUCCCCAAACUGGGGAACCGGUGUGUGGGGCUGUGGAGGCACCUGAGGGAACUCGGCUCAGGCAGAAGCUGCUAAAGGUUUUCUGGAUUCUCCCCAGAGCUCUGAGAAACAGGGUGGAAAGGAAACAGCAAGAUCCUGUGGGACUCUUCAGGUACAUAUCCUUUCUAUGGCCUAUUUCUUAUUUUGGGGAGGGGAAAGAUUUAAGCCUCCUUGACCCUCCUUGAGUUCCAAAGGGCUGGUUCAAAUUGUUGCUAGUCAGGGAAGGGAGAAGAUGCAGAGACAAAGGAGGAGCAGUCAGGAAAGGAUAGUGCAGCCUGGGGGUAGGGUCCCGGUUCCUCCUUAAGAAAUAUGCAUAACAAUAUCUUUUGAGUUCUGGAACUAAGGCCCCCACCCAGGAGGAGGAUGGUAUCUUAAGGCUGAGAGUCAAGUUCCCUAGAACCAUCCCAUUACCUCACCACUGACUAAUCAGAAGAUAGUCAUGGGUGGGGGGUGGCCAAAUGGGACUAAGAUGGCAGACAAGACUAGACCUUGAUCCUCAAUCAGCAAAUGAAAUGACACACCCAGAGGCGCCAUGACAGUUCACAAGACCAAGGAGUGGGCAUGGCCCAACUCCUGAAAAUCUCUACCCUUCUCCAAAAUAGAUGGAAUAAUCCUCUCACUCAUUAGCAUAUGAAAUUACCCAGCCUACAUAAACUAACCAUCCCAUAUUUCAAGCCCAUACUCGCCCUCUGCAAUGGCCCACACUGUCUGUGGAGAGGCCCUUCUCUCUGAAUCUGAAUAAAUCCACUUCUUACCUAUCA
Molecule: long non-coding RNA, 1246 nt
Filed under: Bos mutus (wild yak)
Lineage: Eukaryota; Metazoa; Chordata; Mammalia; Artiodactyla; Bovidae
Description: lncRNA (ENSBMUG00000011797.1)
Source: RNAcentral